Lathyrus oleraceus (garden pea) is the source of this 2028-nucleotide long non-coding RNA. RefSeq lists it as uncharacterized. The transcript has 2 exons. Lineage: Eukaryota; Viridiplantae; Streptophyta; Magnoliopsida; Fabales; Fabaceae. The record is from RefSeq and is a predicted model, not a curated record.
GAUAUUAAUGAGGUGAAGUGUGAGUCAAUAGAGUUUGCAUGGUCAGUUAAACGGGUAUGAUUAAAUUGCCAUGAAUGCACGCGUGAGCACAUGAAUUGACGGUCAGAUGAAUAAUGCACAUGGGAAAAAAUAAUCAAAAGGGCAAACAGAACACAACGAGUAACCAACACAUUCUCGCUCCUUCUCACUCAGUCAUUAUCUUUGUCGUGCCGGAGGCUCCCUCAGUGGCAGAGAUUCCCCAUAAAUCCCAAUUUUCAAUGCCAAUCUCUCUCUCUCAACCUCUACUUACCGAAGCCAAAAAUUGUUUCCUCCAAUUUCUACACACUCAACCAAAUCGAGCAAUUUUGGCCAAGAACACUAAAUCCUAUAACUUAAAUUAAAUCACAACCAAGCCUCAAAUUGUUCCAAAACCAAAGGGUACCACUCUCCUACCUCUAAACAAUCACUUGGUAACGAAAAUUGGAAAGAAAAAGAUGAAAUUUAGAAGACCUUAUCGGAGCAGAUCGGAGAUGAAGACGAAAACGGAAACUGGGUGUGCUGUAAUCCUUUUCUAUUCUGCUUCUUCUCUCUUCUUUGGUCUUCUUCUUAUCUCUUCUUCAUAUGUUAUUGCUAUUCUUCUAGUGAGGAUGAUUGAGAGUGAAUAGUAGUGAUUGUUGAAAAAUUUAUGAUUGCUCUGAUUGCGUCAAUUUUUGUGACUGGAAUGAAUAGGUGAUGAUUGUUCUGUGUGAUUCUGUGUGUGAUUGAUUGUGUGAGUGAUUAAUCUUAUGAUUGUGUGAUUCUAUGAUUGAGAGAGUAUAAAGAGGGAUUCAAUGAUAAAAUGAUUGGUUAAGUGAUUGAGUGUGUGAUUGUGUGAACUUUUCCACCUCCUUAAUAAUGAAUGAUGAAGAUCAUUUAUAGGGAAAAUGAGUCUUAAUAGAGUUUCUUUAAUUAUGUUCAGUUCUGAAUGUGCACGUUAGUUGAGUCAACUAACUCUGUUAGGCUUCAGAAUUUGUACCCAAAUUUAGUUUGCUAUAACAGUUUGUUAGGGUAUUUUGUUUGUUGUUAUUAUUUAUUUUAUUAUGAUAGUUGUUGAAUGAUUAGUUAGUUACAAUUUUGUUAGAUUUUAGUUAGUUAGUUGUUGUUAUGGCAUGAUUUCUGUUAGGUUAUGAUUCAGUUAGUUGGUGGGAUUAAUGAGUGAAUAUAUUAGUAACUGUUAUAAGAAUACUGUUAUGUUAUAUGUUGAGUUGUUACGACUGAACUCUAUUAAGUAUUUUUCACCCUUGAAUUUCCCUGCUGCUGUUAUACCCUAUUAUUGUUAUGCUUGAUUAUGAAUUUUCGUGCCAUUUUCGUGGACAUAUCUGCUAUGGGCCUUCUCAUUGUUGGGUUGCAACUUGUUGUGAAUUCAUGGUUGUUUAUGUUGAGUUAUGUGUUGGAUAUGAAUGGCUUGCAUUCCCUGAUGUUUAACAUGUUAUGUUGCUGCUAAAGGUGAAAUGUUAUGAUGUUUUGUUGUUUGAAAUGUGUGGAAAUAUGAAUGCAUAGCCUGAUGUUAUAUGAUAUAUGAAUGUUUGUUAUUUCUAAUGUGAUGAAUUUUUUAUGUAUGGACUGUUGUAUGAGCUGCUAUGAGGCUAUGAAUUUGUUGUCAUGGAUGUACAUGAAGAAUGGUUGUUAAUGUGAAUCAAAUAAUGCCAUGCUUGUUUGAAUAUUUUGCAGGGCUGAAACAUGUGUGCUUGCAUUGCAUUGACCAUGAUUGAAGCUUGGCAUGGAGGUUCAUGAUGGGAACUUAAAGAAAUCCAAAGGUUACCUGUUCAUGAAGAAAUGUGCUUGGUUAUGGAAUCAAAUGGAAAGAAAUAAAGAGAAUGAAGAAUCAAGGGUCAUUAGGGUUAGGGAUGUGGAAAUUAGGUUAGUUGACUCUUUAGUCAACUGGUUAACCAAAAAAUCAACAAUUGACCAAAAGUCAAUUGUAGGUCAAACUUUGAUUUUUUUUUGUAAUUUUUAUAUGGAACUUUGUAAAUAGUGAUUAUAUUAUAAAAUAGACAAUAUUUUGAAUGA